RNAcentral lists this ribosomal RNA (253 nucleotides) under uncultured bacterium. RNAcentral's name for it is "partial 16S ribosomal RNA". It matches the Rfam family "Bacterial small subunit ribosomal RNA", at positions 524 to 776 of the family's 1533-position model. The record is from RNAcentral.
GACAGAGGGGGCAAGCGUUGCUCGGAAUUACUGGGCGUAAAGGGCGCGUAGGCGGGAUGGCAAGUCGGUCGUGAAAUACCUCGGCUCAACUGAGGAGCGUCGAUCGAAACUGCCGUUCUUGAGGGUUGCAGAGGAGACUGGAAUUCCCGGUGUAGCGGUGAAAUGUGUAGAGAUCAGGAGGAACACCGAUGGCGAGGGCAGAUCUCUGGGCCGUAACUGACGCUGAGGAGCGAAAGCGUGGGGAGCGAACAGG